This 2900-nucleotide ribosomal RNA is filed under the name Escherichia coli. Its description in RNAcentral is "23S ribosomal RNA". It matches the Rfam family "Bacterial large subunit ribosomal RNA". The record is from RNAcentral. Lineage: Bacteria; Pseudomonadati; Pseudomonadota; Gammaproteobacteria; Enterobacterales; Enterobacteriaceae.
GGUUAAGCGACUAAGCGUACACGGUGGAUGCCCUGGCAGUCAGAGGCGAUGAAGGACGUGCUAAUCUGCGAUAAGCGUCGGUAAGGUGAUAUGAACCGUUAUAACCGGCGAUUUCCGAAUGGGGAAACCCAGUGUGAUUCGUCACACUAUCAUUAACUGAAUCCAUAGGUUAAUGAGGCGAACCGGGGGAACUGAAACAUCUAAGUACCCCGAGGAAAAGAAAUCAACCGAGAUUCCCCCAGUAGCGGCGAGCGAACGGGGAGCAGCCCAGAGCCUGAAUCAGUGUGUGUGUUAGUGGAAGCGUCUGGAAAGGCGCGCGAUACAGGGUGACAGCCCCGUACACAAAAAUGCACAUGCUGUGAGCUCGAUGAGUAGGGCGGGACACGUGGUAUCCUGUCUGAAUAUGGGGGACCAUCCUCCAAGGCUAAAUACUCCUGACUGACCGAUAGUGAACCAGUACCGUGAGGGAAAGGCGAAAAGAACCCCGGCGAGGGGAGUGAAAAAGAACCUGAAACCGUGUACGUACAAGCAGUGGGAGCACGCUUAGGCGUGUGACUGCGUACCUUUUGUAUAAUGGGUCAGCGACUUAUAUUCUGUAGCAAGGUUAACCGAAUAGGGGAGCCGAAGGGAAACCGAGUCUUAACUGGGCGUUAAGUUGCAGGGUAUAGACCCGAAACCCGGUGAUCUAGCCAUGGGCAGGUUGAAGGUUGGGUAACACUAACUGGAGGACCGAACCGACUAAUGUUGAAAAAUUAGCGGAUGACUUGUGGCUGGGGGUGAAAGGCCAAUCAAACCGGGAGAUAGCUGGUUCUCCCCGAAAGCUAUUUAGGUAGCGCCUCGUGAAUUCAUCUCCGGGGUAGAGCACUGUUUCGGCAAGGGGUCAUCCCGACUUACCAACCCGAUGCAAACUGCGAAUACCGGAGAAUGUUAUCACGGGAGACACACGGCGGGUGCUAACGUCCGUCGUGAAGAGGGAAACAACCCAGACCGCCAGCUAAGGUCCCAAAGUCAUGGUUAAGUGGGAAACGAUGUGGGAAGGCCCAGACAGCCAGGAUGUUGGCUUAGAAGCAGCCAUCAUUUAAAGAAAGCGUAAUAGCUCACUGGUCGAGUCGGCCUGCGCGGAAGAUGUAACGGGGCUAAACCAUGCACCGAAGCUGCGGCAGCGACGCUUAUGCGUUGUUGGGUAGGGGAGCGUUCUGUAAGCCUGUGAAGGUGUACUGUGAGGUAUGCUGGAGGUAUCAGAAGUGCGAAUGCUGACAUAAGUAACGAUAAAGCGGGUGAAAAGCCCGCUCGCCGGAAGACCAAGGGUUCCUGUCCAACGUUAAUCGGGGCAGGGUGAGUCGACCCCUAAGGCGAGGCCGAAAGGCGUAGUCGAUGGGAAACAGGUUAAUAUUCCUGUACUUGGUGUUACUGCGAAGGGGGACGGAGAAGGCUAUGUUGGCCGGGCGACGGUUGUCCCGGUUUAAGCGUGUAGGCUGGUUUUCCAGGCAAAUCCGGAAAAUCAAGGCUGAGGAGUGAUGACGAGGCACUACGGUGCUGAAGCAACAAAUGCCCUGCUUCCAGGAAAAGCCUCUAAGCAUCAGGUAACAUCAAAUCGUACCCCAAACCGACACAGGUGGUCAGGUAGAGAAUACCAAGGCGCUUGAGAGAACUCGGGUGAAGGAACUAGGCAAAAUGGUGCCGUAACUUCGGGAGAAGGCACGCUGAUAUGUAGGUGAAGUCCCUCGCGGAUGGAGCUGAAAUCAGUCGAAGAUACCAGCUGGCUGCAACUGUUUAUUAAAAACACAGCACUGUGCAAACACGAAAGUGGACGUAUACGGUGUGACGCCUGCCCGGUGCCGGAAGGUUAAUUGAUGGGGUCAGCGCAAGCGAAGCUCUUGAUCGAAGCCCCGGUAAACGGCGGCCGUAACUAUAACGGUCCUAAGGUAGCGAAAUUCCUUGUCGGGUAAGUUCCGACCUGCACGAAUGGCGUAAUGAUGGCCAGUGCUGUCUCCACCCGAGACUCAGUGAAAUUGAACUCGCUGUGAAGAUGCAGUGUACCCGCGGCAAGACGGAAAGACCCCGUGAACCUUUACUAUAGCUUGACACUGAACAUUGAGCCUUGAUGUGUAGGAUAGGUGGGAGGCUUUGAAGUGUGGACGCCAGUCUGCAUGGAGCCGACCUUGAAAUACCACCCUUUAAUGUUUGAUGUUCUAACGUGGACCCGUAAUCCGGGUUGCGGACAGUGUCUGGUGGGUAGUUUGACUGGGGCGGUCUCCUCCUAAAGAGUAACGGAGGAGCACGAAGGUUGGCUAAUCCUGGUCGGACAUCAGGAGGUUAGUGCAAUGGCAUAAGCCAGCUUGACUGCGAGCGUGACGGCGCGAGCAGGUGCGAAAGCAGGUCAUAGUGAUCCGGUGGUUCUGAAUGGAAGGGCCAUCGCUCAACGGAUAAAAGGUACUCCGGGGAUAACAGGCUGAUACCGCCCAAGAGUUCAUAUCGACGGCGGUGUUUGGCACCUCGAUGUCGGCUCAUCACAUCCUGGGGCUGAAGUAGGUCCCAAGGGUAUGGCUGUUCGCCAUUUAAAGUGGUACGCGAGCUGGGUUUAGAACGUCGUGAGACAGUUCGGUCCCUAUCUGCCGUGGGCGCUGGAGAAUUGAGGGGGCUGCUCCUAGUACGAGAGGACCGGAGUGGACGCAUCACUGGUGUUCGGGUUGUCAUGCCAAUGGCACUGCCCGGUAGCUAAAUGCGGAAGAGAUAAGUGCUGAAAGCAUCUAAGCACGAAACUUGCCCCGAGAUGAGUUCUCCCUGACUCCUUGAGAGUCCUGAAGGAACGUUGAAGACGACGACGUUGAUAGGCCGGGUGUGUAAGCGCAGCGAUGCGUUGAGCUAACCGGUACUAAUGAACCGUGAGGCUUAACCUU